Podarcis muralis (Common wall lizard) is the source of this 68-nucleotide small nucleolar RNA. Its record names the gene SNORD58. It matches the Rfam family "Small nucleolar RNA SNORD58". From Rfam's summary of the family: snoRNA U58 is found in introns 1, 3 and 6 of the ribosomal protein RPL17 gene in humans. U58 is a member of the C/D class of snoRNA which contain C (UGAUGA) and D (CUGA) box motifs. Most of the members of the box C/D family function in directing site-specific 2'-O-methylation of substrate RNAs. The record is from Ensembl. Lineage: Eukaryota; Metazoa; Chordata; Lepidosauria; Squamata; Lacertidae.
CUGCAGUGAUGACCAACUUAGGACACCUUUGGAUUCAUAAUGAAAACAACUAAGUGGCUCUGAGCAGU